Molecule: ribosomal RNA, 382 nt
Filed under: Rhinomiriella sp. UNSW ENT 00027609
Lineage: Eukaryota; Metazoa; Arthropoda; Insecta; Hemiptera; Miridae
Description: partial 16S ribosomal RNA
Source: RNAcentral
CUAGUAUGAAUGGUUUGAUGAAAUAUAUACUUUCUUUACUUUAUAUAUAAAAUUUAACUUUUGGGUUAAAAGGCUUAAAUUAUAUUAAAAGACGAGAAGACCCUAUAGAACUUUAUUAUUAUUAUUAUAUAUAAUAUUUAGCUAUUAUUAUUGUUUUGUAUAAUUUGUAUAAUUGUGUUGGGGUGAUGGGAAAAAAUUAAUAACUUUUUUUUUAUUUAACAUUUAUAUAUGUAUUUUUGAUCCAAAAUUUUUGAUUAUAAGAUUAAGUUACCUUAGGGAUAACAGCGUUAUUACUUUGGAGAGUUCUUAUUAAUAAAGUAGUUUGCGACCUCGAUGUUGGAUUAAAAUAAGUUUUAGGUGUAGCAUUUUAAUGACUAAGUCU